GCGGGGUUGGCACAGUCGCGGGAACAGCGCGGAGCAGGUUUUUUAAAAUAUAUUCUUUCUUUAAAAAGAGACCAAAACCUGUCAAAAAAAUACUACCGUGGAAAGCUCAUAAAUACCGCAGUGGGAAGAACCCUGUGCUUAUCUUCAGUUUAUCGUCAGACAUCUUAGGGAAGUUUGAUAAAGGACACCAGGAGAAUUGAGAAUUAAAUGAAAAGGUAAUCCUUUUAAAGACCUCAGAAGAUGGAUCUGUUUGUUUCAAUCUGCUUUUGAGGCCAGAAGGAAAUCUCAGUUGAAAAAAAGCACACCUGGAAUGCAUCACUCUUUAAUUCUCAAAUCCAUAUGAUUGCCCAAAGAAGAGAUGCUAUGGCUCAUCGAGUACUCUCAGCAAGGCUUCAUAAAAUUAAAGGACUAAAAAAUGAAUUAGCUGAUAUGCAUCAUAAAUUGGAAGCCAUCCUUACAGAAAACCAAUUUUUGAAACAACUUCAGCUUAGGCAUUUGAAAGCUAUAGGAAAAUAUGAAAAUUCACAAAAUAAUCUACCUCAAAUUAUGGCUAAACAUCAGAAUGAAGUAAAAAAUUUAAGGCAACUACUUAGGAAAUCCCAGGAAAAGGAAAGAACUGUAUCUAGGAAACUUAGAGAAACUGACAGCCAGUUACUGAAGACUAAAGAUACCUUGCAGGCACUGCAGAAACUUUCUGAAGACAAAAACCUUGCAGAAAGGGAAGAACUCACUCAUAAAUUAUCUAUUAUCACAACAAAAAUGGACGCAAAUGAC
RNAcentral lists this small RNA (774 nucleotides) under Pongo abelii (Sumatran orangutan). Its description in RNAcentral is "processed transcript". Lineage: Eukaryota; Metazoa; Chordata; Mammalia; Primates; Hominidae. The record is from RNAcentral.